UACGGAGGGUGCAAGCGUUGUCCGGAUUUAUUGGGUUUAAAGGGUGCGUAGGCGGUCUUUUAAGUCAGUGGUGAAAUCCUCCAGCUCAACUGGAGAACUGCCAUUGAUACUGGAAGACUUGAGUAUAGUUGAGGUAGGCGGAAUUGACAGUGUAGCGGUGAGAUGCAUAGAUAUUGUCAAGAACCCCGAUUGCGAAGGCAGCUUACUAAACUAUAACUGACGCUGAGGCACGAAAGUGUGGGGAUCAAACAGG
RNAcentral lists this ribosomal RNA (253 nucleotides) under uncultured bacterium. RNAcentral's name for it is "partial 16S ribosomal RNA". It matches the Rfam family "Bacterial small subunit ribosomal RNA", at positions 524 to 776 of the family's 1533-position model. The record is from RNAcentral.